GUGAGUGGAACCUCACGGGCCCAGCUGGGGGAGGGUCAGAGGGUGCCUGGGAGUUGGCAUGGGUUAAUGAGCAAAGCCUGGUAAGGAAUUGGGGGUCUUUGGGGGAGCUGGUGACCCUGGGGAGUACAGAAGGUGACCCUGGGGAGUACAGAAGGUGCCCAUGGGGACGGUAGGUGGGAGCUCUGCCCUAGAGACCAGUGGAGCCCCUGCCAAGCAGAAGGGCCUUGCUCAUUGGCUCCUGGGUCCUGCAAGGGUCUGGGUGGCUGUGGCUGAGCUCAGCAUGGGGUCACUUACCUGCUGCUCCUGAUAAUUCAUGACCGUCUGCACUGUCCCCUGAGCCCCAGCCUGGCCUGUCCCCAGCCUGCAGCUGGGCAGAUCUUUGCUCCAAAAGCUCAGCAGAGAGUGGCUCCUUACUCGAGGAAUGCAGGCUAGACUCUCCAGAGCUGAUGAUGAAAUGGGCUAUUUCUGCCCAGGGACACCAGCAGGCCCCUGGGUGCUGGCCCCAAGGCACACACCGUCAUGUUUUCAAAGUUUCCCUAGACAAAUGCUUUCCUUCCCACCUUGAGACAUUCUUAUCUGCUUCUACCUGCUCGAAUGGCUGUAGCAGUCACUCUGGAGGAACAUUGGGAUUGUGAGGAGGGUCCAGCUAAUCAGCAAGCAAUUUCUCACUCCCCAAGCUAUCCAUCACCCAGGCUGAUCUGGAUGUAAAAAUAGCUGCUGAGGCUGCUUGUUUAAUCUGACUGUCACUUGACACCACGCUGGUGUCGCCGGGUGGACUGUUUGCCUCUUCCGUCCGCAGUACACUGGUCCCCGCCGGGUCUCUGCCGAGAUCUCUGGACCAGGAACCAUUGUGCCUGCUCUUUGGUGACAGAGCUUGUUGAUGGGAACAGCUGUGUCUGGUGGCAGAAAGAGGCUGGCGGUGCAGAGGUCCUGUGAGCUGAGGGCUCUGGCCCCCAAGACAAGGCAUGUGGGGCAGGGGUUUGGGGACACAAGCUGGUGAAAGAGGACAGAAGAGGAGCUGGGAAUCCACCCAAGGCAGGGAUGGGGACCCAG
Molecule: long non-coding RNA, 1053 nt
Filed under: Heterocephalus glaber (naked mole-rat)
Lineage: Eukaryota; Metazoa; Chordata; Mammalia; Rodentia; Bathyergidae
Description: lncRNA (ENSHGLG00100038132.1)
Source: RNAcentral